RNAcentral lists this ribosomal RNA (470 nucleotides) under uncultured bacterium. RNAcentral's name for it is "bacterial SSU rRNA". It matches the Rfam family "Bacterial small subunit ribosomal RNA", at positions 434 to 896 of the family's 1533-position model. The record is from RNAcentral.
UCAGGGGCUAUGAAAUACAUGGGCGCUAACAUCGCUCAUGUCUGACAAAGGCCCCAGAGGAAGCUCCGGCUAAAUCCGUGCCAGCAGCCGCGGUAAUACGGAUGGAGCAAGCGUUGUUCGGAAUCACUGGGCAUAAAGCGCAUGUAGGCGGCCCCAAAAGUCAGGUGUGAAAUACCCCGGCCCACCCGGGGAAUUGCAUUUGAAACUGAGGGGCUCGAGUGAUGGAGGGGAGAGUGGAACUCCUGGUGGAGCGGUAAAAUGCGUAGAUAUCAGGAGGAACGCCGGUGGAGAAGUCGACUCUCUGGCCAUCUACUGACGCUGAGAUGCGAGAGCUAGGGGAGCAAACGGGAUUAGAUACCCCGGUAGUCCUAGCCGUAAACGAUGGGUACUAGGUAGAGGAGGUUCCGACACUUUCUCUGCCGAAGCAAAUGUGAUAAGUACCCCGCCUGGGGAGUACGGUCGCAAGACUA